This 548-nucleotide ribosomal RNA is filed under the name uncultured bacterium. RNAcentral describes it as "bacterial SSU rRNA". It matches the Rfam family "Bacterial small subunit ribosomal RNA", at positions 355 to 896 of the family's 1533-position model. The record is from RNAcentral.
UGGGGAAUAUUGCGCAAUGGGGGCAACCCUGACGCAGCCAUGCCCGCGUGAAUGAAGAAGGCCUUCGGGUUGUAAAGUUCUUUCGGUAGCGAGGAAGGCAUUUAGUUUAAUAGACUGAGUGAUUGACGUUAACUACAGAAGAAGCACCGGCUAACUCCGUGCCAGCAGCCGCGGUAAUACGGAGGGUGCGAGCGUUAAUCGGAAUAACUGGGCGUAAAGGGCACGCAGGCGGUGACUUAAGUGAGGUGUGAAAGCCCCGGGCUUAACCUGGGAAUUGCAUUUCAUACUGGGUCGCUAGAGUACUUUAGGGAGGGGUAGAAUUCCACGUGUAGCGGUGAAAUGCGUAGAGAUGUGGAGGAAUACCGAAGGCGAAGCNAGCCCCUUGGGAAUGUACUGACGCUCAUGUGCGAAAGCGUGGGGAGCAAACAGGAUUAGAUACCCUGGUAGUCCACGCUGUAAACGAUGUCGAUUUGGGGGUUGAACUUUGAGUUUGGCGCCCGUAGCUAACGUGAUAAAUCGACCGCCUGGGGAGUACGGCCGCAAGGUUA